This 494-nucleotide ribosomal RNA is filed under the name uncultured Paraglomus. RNAcentral's name for it is "SSU rRNA". It matches the Rfam family "Eukaryotic small subunit ribosomal RNA", at positions 569 to 1068 of the family's 1831-position model. The record is from RNAcentral. Lineage: Eukaryota; Fungi; Glomeromycota; Glomeromycetes; Paraglomerales; Paraglomeraceae.
AGCAGCCGCGGUAAUUCCAGCUCCAAUAGCGUAUAUUAAAGUUGUUGUGGUUAAAAAGCUCGUAGUUGAACCUUGGGCCUGGCUGGCCGGUCCGCCUCACCGCGUGUACUGGUCCGGCCGGGCCUUUCCCUCUGUGGAACCCCAUGCCCUUCACUGGGUGUGGCGGGGAAACAGGACUUUUACUGUGAAAAAAUUAGAGUGCUCCAGGCAGGCCUAUGCUCGAAUACAUUAGCAUGGAAUAAUAGAAUAGGACGUGUGGUUCUAUUUUGUUGGUUUCUAGGACCGCCGUAAUGAUUAAUAGGGACAGUCGGGGGCAUCAGUAUUCAAUUGUCAGAGGUGAAAUUCUUGGAUUUAUUGAAGACUAACUACUGCGAAAGCAUUUGCCAAGGAUGUUUUCAUUAAUCAGGAACGAAAGUUAGGGGAUCGAAGACGAUCAGAUACCGUCGUAGUCUUAACCAUAAACUAUGCCGACUAGGGAUCGGACGGUGUUAUUU